Molecule: ribosomal RNA, 186 nt
Filed under: Calyptrochaeta asplenioides
Lineage: Eukaryota; Viridiplantae; Streptophyta; Bryopsida; Hookeriales; Daltoniaceae
Description: 5.8S ribosomal RNA
Rfam family: 5.8S ribosomal RNA (bases 6-158)
About the family: 5.8S ribosomal RNA (5.8S rRNA) is a component of the large subunit of the eukaryotic ribosome. It is transcribed by RNA polymerase I as part of the 45S precursor that also contains 18S and 28S rRNA. Functionally, it is thought that 5.8S rRNA may be involved in ribosome translocation.
Source: RNAcentral
AAAACAACUCUCAGCAACGGAUAUCUUGGCUCUUGCAACGAUGAAGAACGCAGCGAAAUGCGAUACGUAGUGUGAAUUGCAGAAUUCCGCGAAUCAUCGAGUCUUUGAACGCAAGUUGCGCCCGAGGCUUGUCCGAGGGCAUUUCCGCUAGAGCGUCACCGCGCCCCCCCCCCAACCCACCCACCC